AACGAACGCUGGCGGCAUGCCUAACACAUGCAAGUCGAACGAGACCUUCGGGUCUAGUGGCGCACGGGUGCGUAACACGUGGGAAUCUGCCCUUUGCUUCGGAAUAACAGUUAGAAAUGACUGCUAAUACCGGAUGAUGUCGAAAGACCAAAGAUUUAUCGGCAAAGGAUGAGCCCGCGUAGGAUUAGGUAGUUGGUGGGGUAAAGGCCUACCAAGCCGACGAUCCUUAGCUGGUCUGAGAGGAUGAUCAGCCACACUGGGACUGAGACACGGCCCAGACUCCGACGGGAGGCAGCAGUGGGGAAUAUUGGACAAUGGGCGAAAGCCUGAGCCAGCAAUGCCGCGUGAGUGAUGAAGGCCUGAGGGUUGUAAAGCUCUUUUACCAGGGAUGAUAAUGACAGGACCUGGAGAAUAAGCUCCGGCUAACUCCG
This 431-nucleotide ribosomal RNA is filed under the name uncultured bacterium. RNAcentral describes it as "partial 16S ribosomal RNA". It matches the Rfam family "Bacterial small subunit ribosomal RNA", at positions 29 to 505 of the family's 1533-position model. The record is from RNAcentral.